Molecule: ribosomal RNA, 465 nt
Filed under: uncultured Klebsiella sp.
Lineage: Bacteria; Pseudomonadati; Pseudomonadota; Gammaproteobacteria; Enterobacterales; Enterobacteriaceae
Description: bacterial SSU rRNA
Rfam family: Bacterial small subunit ribosomal RNA
Source: RNAcentral
CCUACGGGGGGCAGCAGUGGGGAAUAUUGCACAAUGGGCGCAAGCCUGAUGCAGCCAUGCCGCGUGUGUGAAGAAGGCCUUCGGGUUGUAAAGCACUUUCAGCGGGGAGGAAGGCGUUAAGGUUAAUAACCUUGGCGAUUGACGUUACCCGCAGAAGAAGCACCGGCUAACUCCGUGCCAGCAGCCGCGGUAAUACGGAGGGUGCAAGCGUUAAUCGGAAUUACUGGGCGUAAAGCACACGCAGGCGGUCUGUCAAGUCGGAUGUGAAAUCCCCGGGCUCAACCUGGGAACUGCAUUCGAAACUGGCAGGCUAGAGUCUUGUAGAGGGGGGUAGAAUUCCAGGUGUAGCGGUGAAAUGCGUAGAGAUCUGGAGGAAUACCGGUGGCGAAGGCGGCCCCCUGGACAAAGACUGACGCUCAGGUGCGAAAGCGUGGGGAGCAAACAGGAUUAGAUACCCGAGUAGUC